This 290-nucleotide long non-coding RNA is filed under the name Vigna radiata. RNAcentral's name for it is "long non-coding RNA (VRAD_LNC016960)". Lineage: Eukaryota; Viridiplantae; Streptophyta; Magnoliopsida; Fabales; Fabaceae. The record is from RNAcentral.
AAGGACGUUAAAGAAGCGUUACCUGGGAGGGUUGUGUGCUGCCUCUAAUGGCAGUGAUGAUAGCAUCUACUUAUGGGUGCUUCUACAACAUCUACUGAUGGAUGUUAGGUGAUAUGGCAUUUACUGAUGGAUGCCAAUGAAGAUUAGAAAGAUUAGCAUUUACUGAUGAGUGCUACUGGGAUAACAUCUAUUGGGGGAUGUUAGAAGAUAUAGGUAUCUACUGAAGGAUACCAGGAAGGUACACCUACUGAAAGGUGUUGGGAGGCACUUACUAACAAGUGAUAACCAGG